GGAAACGGUCGCGGUGCCGGUAACUACCGGCGGCGGCGCGGUGGAGUGAUGUGCACACACCACGGAUUCUCCGUCGCCCAUUCUCGACUGGAUUCUUUUACCUUUGUCGUCUCCGGUCGAAAAGGAAAACAAUGGGCACUCACACACGUACACGCACCACGCGCGCUCACGUACACAGACGCGGACGACGAGGGACUUGUGUUUAGAAUGCACCGCAACGCCGCGACGGUCGUUCCGCCCACGAGCGCCUCCAAAACGGACGUGGUGUGUGUGUAAGCUCGCGAACACAAUCGAAUCUCUCCAUUCUCGUAUUUAACGGCGUCGUUACGAGACGCACAACACCACAUCAAAUUAGUCCUGCAGCAGCCCGGGACGCCAUCGCCGCUCUCUCCGUGCCGGUUUCGGAUCCGUGAUUUCGUUCAAAUGUCGACGUUCCAGUGGAAUAUACAACUACUGCAUUUUUAGCGCGGAGAAGAACAUCGACACGAACAAACCAAACCCGGAACACUCUUCCGGCGAUGACAGCAGUGUCUAAACUUUUCACUAUUUUUACGGUCUUUUUUUUUUUUUUUGUUUUCUACUGUGCACGAAUCAAUUUGAAAUGCAUAAAUCAUGUUAAUAGUUAUUUGAGUUGUUGCAGUUUUGUACAGUUGCGUUGAUAUCAAAUAUAAAAUAUGUGUAUAUUAUUAUUAGUUGUUUACAUUUAUCUAUCGGCAGU
This 718-nucleotide long non-coding RNA is filed under the name Sipha flava (yellow sugarcane aphid). Its description in RNAcentral is "uncharacterized LOC112690769, transcript variant X2". The record is from RNAcentral. Lineage: Eukaryota; Metazoa; Arthropoda; Insecta; Hemiptera; Aphididae.